RNAcentral lists this long non-coding RNA (1815 nucleotides) under Zostera marina. Its description in RNAcentral is "long non-coding RNA (ZMAR_LNC005122)". Lineage: Eukaryota; Viridiplantae; Streptophyta; Magnoliopsida; Alismatales; Zosteraceae. The record is from RNAcentral.
UAUUUUAUAUCGUAGUCCUUCACUGGUUUGAUAAUCUUUAAUUACCUCUAUUACCCUCCUUCAAGAAAUAAGGUCCUUGCAGGUUAAAGUAUCCAAAUAGAGGAUGGUGAUGAAACUUCCGAUGUCGAUGAUCAUUCUUUCGAUGUGGGAAUCGGGACCGAUGUCUGCUUGGAUCAUGAGUAUAUCCUCGUGGGGUUGCAUGACAUCAUCCAACUUCUCUUUGGAGAAGUAUGUAGCCUUCUCUUCGCGGAUCCAUUUUCCGUUGUCUUGAGGUGUUGAUGUCGAGAUCAUCACCUUCCGUGAAUAUUCUCUGUUUUGGCCUAGCGAGCCACCACAAAAUAUUAUAUUGAUGAUUUUUCACUGUCUAUUCUCACUAUCGUUGUUGUCUAAAGAUAGGGAGCGUGGACGCUUCCCCUUCUGGUCAGACUUGUAGUUGUCGCGACCUCGAGGUCCUUUGUAAAAAUUGCCAAAUUCUCCUUUACGGAUAAACCACUCAACGUAUCUCGAGAUCUCUCUGUAGUGAUUUGUUAAGUGACCAUGAUCCUGUUUGAUCGUGAUCCGAGGCUAUGGGGGGUUAUUGAUAGCCUCUUUUCGCGUAUUGCAGAUUGUAACGGAAGAUCUACAAAAACACUCAAUAAUACAAUAGCAAAUUUGAUAGUAAUAAUAUAAUAUUGAUCACAAAAUAAUAUUAUUAUAUAAGUUGAGUGAAAAAUAUUAAAUUAUAAUAUAAUAUAAUAUAUAUAUAUUGCUUUGUAAAAAUAACAAGCCUCUUAAAGCACCUGAUAAUAGGUUGACGACUUUAAAGUAACUAACUUCAAAAAGUAAAUUGCCUCUUGGAGCACCUGGUAAUAGGUCAAAGACUUUAAGUGUUAGGGUUAUACCAGAAUCCGUAUUCGAAUCCGCAUUCCUCUCGUUUAUGGAGAGGAAGAGCAGAUCUGGGAGGAGGCAUCGGGAGAAGCUGAUGGAGAAGAGGAAGAACAUGACCUGCAAAAGUUAGAUGAAGGGUUUGAGCCAAACAAAGCAAGUACAUCUGAAGACAUUGGUAGGGGUAAAAGGGUAAAGGUUCAACCUAUUAAAUUUAAAGAAUAUUAUGUUAUUUUAAAAUAGAAAGUCUUGUUAUUAUUUUUUUAUAGGCCUAGUCCAUUGGCCAAGACUAUUUAAACUUUGUAAACCCUAACUUUAGGGUAUCAUUUCAUUUUUUUCAAUAAGCAUGACUUAUGAAGCUUAGGACACGGUCCUACAGAAAAUUCUCUUCUCCUCUAUUACUCAAUUCCAGGUCACUGUAGCAAGCUCGUUUUUGGGGGUUGCUGCAUUAACAUACUUUCAGGCCGACCGACCAGAUAUACCAGUCAGUGGUUCAAAAGUGUCAAACAAUUUAAUGUCUUCCUUCCAUCCAUAAACAUGAGAGGAAAACUCGAUUUAGACAUGACUUAGAUCCCAAGGCCUAUUUGCGAUACCCGAUCUUUUUUGAACUUUUGGGACUUAAUCUGAAUUCCCAAAUAUUUUUCUUUGAUAUUUUGUCGAUGAAAACACAAUUACACUUCAUAUAAUAACGGUACCAUGACUCAAUGAUUAACUAAGGACAAGGAUGUCUACAUGGUUCAUCUACUGCCAGUGGACAACCAGCUACGAUACCUGGUGGAUUUUUAGUUGCACCUUUACCUGGUGAAAUGACAACUGCAAUUCGACGACUGGACCCAUUAUCAGCUACAAUAUUUGCAUCGAUCUCAUGGCCAUCAUAUAGGAAUAGUAAUAAGAGAAGCCCUGGGAGCUUUAAACUAAUUACAGAUAACAUUCGAUUUUAUGAUCAAAAUG